UGGAAGAAGUCGUCGAAGGUGGAAUCAAUAACUGGGGUGAAGUCGUAACAAGGUAGCCGUAUCGGAAGGUGCGGCUGGAUCACCUCCUUUCUAAGGAGA
This 99-nucleotide ribosomal RNA is filed under the name Clostridioides difficile. Its description in RNAcentral is "partial 16S ribosomal RNA". It matches the Rfam family "Bacterial small subunit ribosomal RNA", at positions 1444 to 1533 of the family's 1533-position model. RNAcentral also lists the same sequence under 2 other names. The record is from RNAcentral. Lineage: Bacteria; Bacillati; Bacillota; Clostridia; Peptostreptococcales; Peptostreptococcaceae.